This 485-nucleotide ribosomal RNA is filed under the name uncultured bacterium. Its description in RNAcentral is "bacterial SSU rRNA". It matches the Rfam family "Bacterial small subunit ribosomal RNA", at positions 28 to 512 of the family's 1533-position model. The record is from RNAcentral.
GAUGAACGCUGGCGGCGUGCUUAACACAUGCAAGUCGAACGAAGCAUUUUAGCGGAACAUUUUCGGAUGGGAAGUUAAAAUGACUGAGUGGCGGACGGGUGAGUAACGCGUGGAUAACCUACCAUAUACAGGGGGACAACAGUUGGAAACGACUGCUAAUACCGCAUAAGCGCACAGUGCCGCAUGGCACGGUGUGAAAAACUCCGGUGGUAUAUGAUGGAUCCGCGUCUGAUUAGCUAGUUGGUGAGGUAACGGCCCACCAAGGCAACGAUCAGUAGCCGACCUGAGAGGGUGACCGGCCACAUUGGGACUGAGACACGGCCCAAACUCCUACGGGAGGCAGCAGUGGGGAAUAUUGCACAAUGGGCGAAAGCCUGAUGCAGCGACGCCGCGUGAGCGAAGAAGUAUUUCGGUAUGUAAAGCUCUAUCAGCAGGGAAGAAAAUGACGGUACCUGACUAAGAAGCCCCGGUAACUACGUGCCAGC